AUCCGGACACCCCGGAUAUCCUAUUUUCGAAGCAGAUCCGGAGCAGAUCUCGGAUCGAAUAUGGAUCUCGGAUAGUAUGUCCCAGGCCUAUGUGACAUAUCCUAUUAUUACAAACAAAUGAUAAAAUUUAUUUUCAGAAUUUAUGCACAAUAUGUUAGUGUCAUACUAUCUGAGAUGUGUUUCUACUUUCGUAAUAAAUAAAACAAACUAUUUUACCUUCAGCCUACAGUGAACACAACACACGCUCCUCAUACUCUAGCAUAUCUAUUUUCAUAACCAAUAGUUUGUAACUUUGUUUCUAACUUUGGACGACAGCAAAAAAAACACAUCACACGAACACUCCUACAUUUAAUAAAAUCAAAUACAUAGGCACUUAAUCUAGACAAUGGACCUUCUAAUCUUUUCUUUGCCAACAAUGGACCUGCUAAUCAUACGGAGAAAAUGCUACACACAGUCGUUAACAAAAAAUUAUCAAUACAUAUUUUGAAAUUUUAUAAUAAGUCCAAUCAUAUAAUUUUUAAAAUGAAUAUUAAAAAAUAGUACUUAUGUAAGUAAAUAUUAUUUUUAGUUAAAAUAAAUUAAAUAUUAUAAAAUACAAUUAUAUUAUUAGUUUAUUUAUUCACCCGCCCUU
Molecule: long non-coding RNA, 631 nt
Filed under: Brassica napus (rape)
Lineage: Eukaryota; Viridiplantae; Streptophyta; Magnoliopsida; Brassicales; Brassicaceae
Description: long non-coding RNA (BNAP_LNC008670)
Source: RNAcentral